UGGCUUUCUUUUCAGCCAGUUCCAACUUCUCCUGUGCAUCUUUCAGAGCUUCGGAAUAUUUGUCAAGUUCAUCCUCAGUCCCCUUCAGUUUCUUCUGUAAGGCCACCAGCUCAUCCUCCAGCUGCCCGGUGUUUUUGUUGUUUUUGUUUUGUUGUUGUGUGUGUGGGAGCAGCAGCGAGAUGACAGACAGCACAGGGACACAGAGAGAGAAGCGGCGUGGUCGGUGGAAAGUGGAGCCAUGCGUGCGUUUGUGUGUGUGUGUGUGUGAGAGAGAGACAGAAACAGACACAGAGAGAGAGAGGAGAGAGAGAGAAAAAAAGCAGAAAGAGGUUACAAGAGACGUUCAUUCACCUCGCACCAAUACCUUAGUGGCAUUCUCUUCCGCCAGCAGCUGCCGUUCUUCCGCCUUGUUGAAAUCUUCUACAAACUUAUCCCUCUCAUCCUCCACGGUUCGCAACUUCUUCUCUAGUUGUAAAGCAUCAUCCUCAAACUAUACAGACAAUUCAUCAGAGAGCCAUCAAACAAAGCCGUGGUCCAAAUUAGCCCCAAACUUCCCCACAACAAAUUAAUGCAAAGCUGGAUACAAUCGGACAACAGCAUGCUUUUUCGACAAAUCCAGUUCCAAAACAACGCAACAGCAUACAAAACAUUAAUUGCUGCUCCUGGAAUUCGUGGGAAUCACUUCCAACACCUAAAAUACCUCAAAAUAAAGGAGCAGCUGUUACAGCCAGAAAUUUUUCACAUCCUCCAUCUUGGAUUCUGUAGUUCAAUGAAGAGUGCAGGAGGGCAUUGCCAGGGGCUGCACGAGCCGUAUCUCAAACUGAAGUGUCAGUUUGGUGAAGCUACAGAUCAGGGCUACAUGCAUGCCAAGCUGAGGAAGCAGUAUGUGAUGGAUGGAACUAUGCAAUGCACAACCAAGAGGUCAGAUCUGCGGUCCUGAUCCAGUCUGCCGACUCCACUCAUCCCUGUGAUCAAACCUGUUCCAGUCCUUCCAAUCUCUCUUCUGCUGUGACCACUUUCACUCUGGAGAGCAUCAUUGAAGUGCGUGACAGAGAGAGGCAGAUAUUGAUUGGAGGAACAGGUUCUCGAUGAGUCUUCUCUCCAGGGCAUGGGAUUAACUUGGCUCUGAUUGGGUGCAGAGAAGCUGUCUCUGAGCAUGGGCUCCCUGAAAGCAAGGGUUCUAUUUGAGGAGAGACAUUAUGAAUUAAAUGUACAUUAUAAUGGGGGUGCAGGAGCAGACUUUGCCAGGAUAUAUGCAGCCGAAUCAUUGAAUACAGGAUCAUGUGCCUCACCAGUCGAAGCACAGGGAAUGUAGAAUGUUUAGUAAACACUGCCUCAGCUCGAGCAUUAUGUGUUAGGAUAUUGUUAGCAGCUUUGAGGAGGUAGGGGCAGACGAGAGUUGACCACAAGACUAAUCAAUAAUAUCCUUGAGAGAAGAAAAUCUUCAUGUCCGGCCUAGAUGGGACUCCAGAUCUGCAACAAUAUGGCUGACCCUAUUAACAGUUAUUAACCAUUAGCUCGCUCUCUGCAGGUACAUGUGGUCAGUUAGCUCAGUUGGCUGAAUGGCUAGUUUACAAUUACAGAAUGGUGCCAACGGUGUGGUUUCAAUUCCCACAUCAGCUGAGGUUAUCACAAAGGAUUCUCCUUCUCAACAUCUCCCCUUGCUUGACGCAUGGUGACCCACAGGUUAAGCCACUAUCAGUCAUCUCUCUUUAAUGGGAGGACAGCCCUAUGUUCCUCUCGGGAUAUGGUGACUCUACCUUUAUUAACAGAAGCUUGAUAGAAUAGGACUCUGCUCGUACCUUGAGCCAUCAGGCCUCAGUCCAAUGUGAGUUCAGUAGCUGUAGUUAAAGUAGUGCUACAGUUAACUCUUUACAUGGUGGCCAACUCUGUACAUUACACUUUUGAAAAGACAUUGGAGAGGCUGCAGAGAAAAAGGAAAUGCAAUAAUCAUUUCAAGGAUUCAGUUACAAGGAGAGAUUGGAGAAGUUAGAGUUGCUCUUCUUGGAGAACAGGAGGUUGAGAGAAGAUUUGCUCGAGGUGUUCAAAAUCAUGAGGUACCUGGACAGAGUAGGUAGGGAUUAACUGUUCCUGCUGUUGGGAAUCUCAAGUAGGAAUCACUGAUUUAAAGAAAUUGGCAAAGAAACAAAAGAUAAUGGAGGGAGUGUGGAAAAUCACGCAUCGUCAAAUGCCCGACACGAAUUGCCCUUGGCUCGCUUGGCUAUUUUUGUGGAUCUGGAGUCCGAUGUAGGUAGGACAUUACUGAGCACAAUAGGUUUUUCCAACAAUCAAUAAUAGUUUCACAGCCACUAUGUCAACUGCUGUCAUGGAAUUUGAAAUCAGGACCCCCAGGGCCUACAGAAUAACUCGACCUGUGACAUUAGCACUGUGCCACUUCUAAGUAAAUAGCCUGAGACUGUGGUGGACGGGAAUUCAGCCAUGGGUUAUGUUGUAUCACCAUAGUCUUACCACACCAUAGGGCUGCUCUCCCAUUCGAGAGAUGGAAGCAACUGGUGGCGAUUUAACCUGAGGGCCACCAGACCUCAGGCAAGGGAAGAGGUUGAGGAGGAGAGCCCUUCAUGGUAACCUCAAACCAGUGAUGGGAAUUGAACCCACGCUGUUGGUAUCACACUGCUCUAUAAACCAACAAUCCAGCCAACUGAGCUAAACUGAUUCCCUGAAAGGGAAGUAGAUAAUUAUCUGAAGAUGAAAAAAUUUGCAGGGCUUCAGGGAAACGGAUGAAGCAUGGGAAUAUUGAAGUUACUCUUGCAGACAGCUUGCAGGGCAGUGAAAGGCUGAAUGGUCUCUUUCAGUACUAUUCUAUGAUCCUAUAAUUGUGCACUUUUUCAUUGAUGUCUUCAAAGGGCAAUGAAAUUGAUACUCCCCAAGUGUUAAUUGCUGUUCCCAACAUCAGAACCUCGUUGUAUUGGGAAUCACUGUGUGGUCCAAUUGGACAGCCAGCUCUCUGGAAUCUGCUCCAUUGGAGUAUUAAAUUAAAGCUGGAAAUCUCCUUACAUCUAA
Long non-coding RNA from Hemiscyllium ocellatum (epaulette shark), 3021 nucleotides. RefSeq lists it as uncharacterized. The transcript is spliced from 2 exons. Lineage: Eukaryota; Metazoa; Chordata; Chondrichthyes; Orectolobiformes; Hemiscylliidae. The record is from RefSeq and is a predicted model, not a curated record.